CAAUAGCGCAUAUUAAAGUUGUUGCAGUUAAAAAGCUCGUAGUUGGAUUUCUGGCAAGAGCGACCGGUCACACACUCUGUGUGUGAACAUGCGUUGUCUCUGGCCAUCCUUGGGAAGAUCCUGUUUGGCAUUAAGUUGUCGGGCAGGGGAUACCCAUCGUUUACUGUGAAAAAAUUAGAGUGUUUAAAGCAGGCUUAUGCCGUUGAAUAUAUUAGCAUGGAAUAAUAAGAUAGGACUUCGGAACUAUUUUGUUGGUUUGCGUUACGAAGUAAUGAUUAAUAGGGACAGUUGGGGGUAUUCGUAUUUCGUUGUCAGAGGUGAAAUUCUUGGAUUUCCGAAAGACGAACUACUGCGAAAGCAUUUACCAAGGAUGUUUUCAUUAA
This 383-nucleotide ribosomal RNA is filed under the name uncultured eukaryote. Its description in RNAcentral is "partial 18S ribosomal RNA". It matches the Rfam family "Eukaryotic small subunit ribosomal RNA", at positions 592 to 976 of the family's 1831-position model. The record is from RNAcentral.